CUUUUUUUUUAGGAAAAUAUAUUUUGAUUCUUGUUUAUGCUAAAUGCAGUAUAUUAUAUUUGUGGUGCUUGGCUUCUGUAGCUUUGUGCUUGAAUCAUAAGCAUCUAAUAUAUGCCUUGUCCUAGGGAACUUUGACAUUUUAUAUAUACAUCUAUAUCUGGAAAAUUUUGCAAUAUUUUCUUACAAAAUUAUGGAUCCAUUUUGCUUGAUGAGUCUGUCUUAGAAGAUGGAAUGG
RNAcentral lists this unclassified non-coding RNA (235 nucleotides) under Hevea brasiliensis (rubber tree). Lineage: Eukaryota; Viridiplantae; Streptophyta; Magnoliopsida; Malpighiales; Euphorbiaceae. The record is from RNAcentral.